RNAcentral lists this long non-coding RNA (940 nucleotides) under Salmo salar (Atlantic salmon). RNAcentral describes it as "lncRNA (ENSSSAG00000095860.1, ENSSSAG00000110858.1)". The record is from RNAcentral. Lineage: Eukaryota; Metazoa; Chordata; Actinopteri; Salmoniformes; Salmonidae.
AUUUGUUGUCUGUGUGAGUUUAUAGUAUCACGCUCUAGAUCAACACUAGAAACAAUGGGUUCCUCUUCCCAGAAACACUUGGUCUACCAGGAGACACUCUGACGCACACACCACGACCUGGCUGGGAUCAGCAAGGCCUCAUCCUGCCGUUACUAUACCUGCACACACCUAUGCAGGCACGCAGGUUCUCAUCCACAUCACAAUGGAUGCUUUCAUUAGCCAAACAUCUUGGGAAGAAUCUUCAGGCAUGGCGAAUCCAGGCCUGACACUGGUCUGCCGUGAUGUCAUUGUAUGCGUCAUCCAUGGCCUGGAGAAGGGUGGCUUGUUCCUGAGGGCGCCUAUCAUAUACCUUCCAACUCCAUGUGGAGAAAAAAAAUCCUCAAUCGGGUUAAGGAAAGGAGAGUAUGGGGUGAGAGGCCUUGGCAUUUCAACCACCACAACAAGGCUGUGACCUUUGCAGCCAUCUCCACCUCCUGCCAUCCCUACUGGGUUUUGAAGGGACUGAAGCCUGUUGUUUUCGUUUGUAGCACUUCAUUCGAAGGAUACCUACAAGGAUUUCAUAUCCCGUUCCUAAGCAGUACACGUUUAUAUAUGUGUUAACAGCACACUGCUGCUAAUAUACUGCAACCCACAAGGGUACAUGAAGACGCAAUGGCUAAAUGUGGUGUAAGUUUCGGGAAGCAUCUGGUUUUGAACAUGAUUGGAUGUAUAAACAGUUUGUGAUGUGAUCUGAGAACAGCUUGAUCAUAAACAUAUGUCCAGACCAGUACAUACUGUAUGGUUAUUCAGUUAGGGGGGGAAUUCAGACCCGAGAUUAAGCGCGUGUAAAUGGAACAUAAUUCCUUUUGAAUGCGCUUUUCUCUCUAUGUGUAUUCUGACCUUGAAUUUAAGCAUGAGAAUAGCAUGCCAUUCACACGCUAUUCGUUUGAGGUGGAGCUGG